This 638-nucleotide ribosomal RNA is filed under the name Bacillus sp. JC192. Its description in RNAcentral is "bacterial SSU rRNA". It matches the Rfam family "Bacterial small subunit ribosomal RNA", at positions 71 to 692 of the family's 1533-position model. Lineage: Bacteria; Bacillati; Bacillota; Bacilli; Caryophanales; Bacillaceae. The record is from RNAcentral.
UUUUAAAGCUUGCUUUUGAAAGGUCAGCGGCGGACGGGUGAGUAACACGUGGGCAACCUGCCUGUAAGACUGGGAUAACUUCGGGAAACCGGAGCUAAUACCGGAUAAUAUAAGGAACCUCCUGGUUCUUUAUUGAAAGAUGGUUUCGGCUAUCACUUACAGAUGGGCCCGCGGCGCAUUAGCUAGUUGGUGAGGUAACGGCUCACCAAGGCGACGAUGCGUAGCCGACCUGAGAGGGUGAUCGGCCACACUGGGACUGAGACACGGCCCAGACUCCUACGGGAGGCAGCAGUAGGGAAUCUUCCACAAUGGACGAAAGUCUGAUGGAGCAACGCCGCGUGAGCGAUGAAGGCCUUCGGGUCGUAAAGCUCUGUUGUUAGGGAAGAACAAGUGCGAGAGUAACUGCUCGCACCUUGACGGUACCUAACCAGAAAGCCACGGCUAACUACGUGCCAGCAGCCGCGGUAAUACGUAGGUGGCAAGCGUUGUCCGGAAUUAUUGGGCGUAAAGCGCGCGCAGGUGGUCCUUUAAGUCUGAUGUGAAAGCCCACGGCUCAACCGUGGAGGGGUCAUUGGAAACUGGGGGACUUGAGUGCAGAAGAGGAAAGUGGAAUUCCAAGUGUAGCGGUGAAAUGCGUA